This 453-nucleotide ribosomal RNA is filed under the name uncultured bacterium. RNAcentral's name for it is "bacterial SSU rRNA". It matches the Rfam family "Bacterial small subunit ribosomal RNA", at positions 340 to 786 of the family's 1533-position model. The record is from RNAcentral.
UACGGAAGGCAGCAGUGGGGAAUAUUGCACAAUGGGCGCAAGCCUGAUGCAGCCAUGCCGCGUGUAUGAAGAAGGCCUUCGGGUUGUAAAGUACUUUCAGCGGGGAGGAAGGCGAUGCGGUUAAUAACCGCGUCGAUUGACGUUACCCGCAGAAGAAGCACCGGCUAACUCCGUGCCAGCAGCCGCGGUAAUACGGAGGGUGCAAGCGUUAAUCGGAAUUACUGGGCGUAAAGCGCACGCAGGCGGUCUGUUAAGUCAGAUGUGAAAUCCCCCGGGCUUAACCUGGGAACUGCAUUUUGAAACUGGCAGGCUUGAGUCUUGUAGAGGGGGUAGAAUUCCAGGUGUAGCGGUGAAAUGCGUAGAGAUCUGGAGGAAUCCGGUGGCGAAGGCGGCCCCUGGACAAAGCUGACGCUCAGGGUGCGAAAGCGUGGGGAGCAAACAGAAUUAGAUACC